Molecule: ribosomal RNA, 274 nt
Filed under: uncultured bacterium
Lineage: Bacteria
Description: partial 16S ribosomal RNA
Rfam family: Bacterial small subunit ribosomal RNA
Source: RNAcentral
AUACGGAGGGUGCAAGCGUUACUCGGAAUUACUGGGCGUAAAGGACGCGUAGGCGGUUUAGAAAGUCAGAUGUGAAAGCCUAUGGCUUAACCAUAGAACUGCAUCUGAAACUCCUAGACUAGAGUGAGGGAGAGGUCAGUGGAAUUAGUGGUGUAGGGGUAAAAUCCGUAGAGAUCACUAGGAAUACUCAUAGCGAAGGCGACUGACUGGAACUUUACUGACGCUGAGGCGUGAAAGCGUGGGGAGCAAACAGGAUUAGAAACCCGUGUAGUCC